RNAcentral lists this ribosomal RNA (465 nucleotides) under uncultured Klebsiella sp. Its description in RNAcentral is "bacterial SSU rRNA". It matches the Rfam family "Bacterial small subunit ribosomal RNA", at positions 338 to 795 of the family's 1533-position model. The record is from RNAcentral. Lineage: Bacteria; Pseudomonadati; Pseudomonadota; Gammaproteobacteria; Enterobacterales; Enterobacteriaceae.
CCUACGGGGGGCUGCAGUGGGGAAUAUUACACAAUGGGCGCAAGCCUGAUGCAGCCAUGCCGCGUGUGUGAAGAAGGCCUUCGGGUUGUAAAGCACUUUCAGCGGGGAGGAAGGCGGUGAGGUUAAUAACCUCAUCGAUUGACGUUACCCGCAGAAGAAGCACCGGCUAACUCCGUGCCAGCAGCCGCGGUAAUACGGAGGGUGCAAGCGUUAAUCGGAAUUACUGGGCGUAAAGCGCACGCAGGCGGUCUGUCAAGUCGGGUGUGAAAUCCCCGGGCUCAACCUGGGAACUGCAUUCGAAACUGGCAGGCUAGAGUCUUGUAGAGGGGGGUAGAAUUCCAGGUGUAGCGGUGAAAUGCGUAGAGAUCUGGAGGAAUACCGGUGGCGAAGGCGGCCCCCUGGACAAAGACUGACGCUCAGGUGCGAAAGCGUGGGGAGCAAACAGGAUUAGAUACCCGAGUAGUC